This 439-nucleotide ribosomal RNA is filed under the name uncultured bacterium. Its description in RNAcentral is "partial 16S ribosomal RNA". It matches the Rfam family "Bacterial small subunit ribosomal RNA", at positions 339 to 795 of the family's 1533-position model. The record is from RNAcentral.
CUACGGGAUGCACCAGUGAGGAAUAUUGCACAAUGGGGGGAACCCUGAUGCAGCAACGCCGCGUGGAGGAUGACGCAUUUCGGUGUGUAAACUCCUUUUAUAUGUCAAGAAAAUGACGGUAGCAUAUGAAUAAGCACCGGCUAACUCCGUGCCAGCAGCCGCGGUAAUACGGAGGGUGCAAGCGUUACUCGGAAUCACUGGGCGUAAAGGACGCGUAGGCGGGCUUGUAAGUCAGGUGUGAAAUCCUACAGCUUAACUGUAGAACUGCACUUGAAACUACGAGCCUAGAGUAUGGGAGGGGGAGAUGGAAUUAGUGGUGUAGGGGUAAAAGCCGUAGAUAUCACUAGGAAUACCUAAAGCGAAGGCGAUCUCCUGGAACAUUACUGACGCUAAGGCGUGAAAGCGUGGGGAGCAAACAGGAUUAGAUACCCGAGUAGUC